This 267-nucleotide ribosomal RNA is filed under the name Streptococcus agalactiae. Its description in RNAcentral is "partial 16S ribosomal RNA". It matches the Rfam family "Bacterial small subunit ribosomal RNA", at positions 1 to 258 of the family's 1533-position model. Lineage: Bacteria; Bacillati; Bacillota; Bacilli; Lactobacillales; Streptococcaceae. The record is from RNAcentral.
UUUAAUGAGAGUUUGAUCCUGGCUCAGGACGAACGCUGGCGGCGUGCCUAAUACAUGCAAGUAGAACGCUGAGGUUUGGUGUUUACACUAGACUGAUGAGUUGCGAACGGGUGAGUAACGCGUAGGUAACCUGCCUCAUAGCGGGGGAUAACUAUUGGAAACGAUAGCUAAUACCGCAUAAGAGUAAUUAACACAUGUUAGUUAUUUAAAAGGAGCAAUUGCUUCACUGUGAGAUGGACCUGCGUUGUAUUAGCUAGUUGGUGAGGU